UCCUCGGUGGCGCAAUUGGCUAGCGCGUCUGACUGUUAAUCAGGAGGUUGUAAGUUCGAGCCUUACCCGGGGAG
This is a transfer RNA of 74 nucleotides. It matches the Rfam family "tRNA". Rfam says of the family: Transfer RNA (tRNA) molecules are approximately 80 nucleotides in length. Their secondary structure includes four short double-helical elements and three loops (D, anti-codon, and T loops). The record is from Rfam.